CAUGCCGGGGUAGAAGCAGGAUACACUGGCAUGGGAACCACUUGAAAGUGAGCACGGCUGAGCACGCCAUUAGUCCUAGCACUCGGGAGGCAGCGGCAGGUAGGUUCUCUGUGAGUUCUCGAGGCUAGCCUGGUCUACACAGUGAAUUCCCAAAGAACCAGGGCUAUGCAGAGAGAGCUUGUCGCAACAACAGAGAACCUCUUGGAGACAACAGCAGUGGGUUCCCAUAGUUCAUUUUCACAGCUAUGGCGUGCUUAUUUUAUCAAUGGCAAUCGUCAACCUGAUUCACUGAGGAUGUUCUGCACACCUUGCUUCGUCGUCCCCAGACCGGAGUAGAGGCCUCGUUAGCCUGGCCUUGGCCUCAUCCCAGCGCUGGAGCACAAUGCAGCCUCAGAGCACAGACCCUGCAGGUGCUUGUCUUCAUUUUGCUCACUGCUGGGUCCUCCGCAGCUAGCAGAGUCAAAACCAUGAGCAAGUCUUCUGAAAGCCGUGCGGACGGAAGCGUGAAGGCUAAUCACACCCUGGCUGUCCUGGAACUCGCUCUGUAGACCGUACUGGCCUUUGCUCUCAAGUGCUGGUAUUAAAGGAGGUGUUUGGUUUUUCACUGUUUCUCUGCCCGAGUCAGGGUCUCUCUAUGGAACCCCGGAUGCCCUGGAACCUCUCCAUGUAUAUCAGGCUGGCCUGAUAUUCAGAAAGACGCCUCUGCCUCCGCAAGAGCCACCACAUCCAGCUCCCUGUGGUCUUCUUAACCUCAGCCUUCCGUGUGCUGACUAAGGAUCCAGAUGGCAGUCACCUCACCGCACUGUUGUAUUCUUAAGACUGCUGUCCUGUCCACAUUACUGUUUGUCUUGGGGCUACUAUUGCUAUGAAGACCACUGUGGGAAGGAAAGGGUUUAUUUAGCUAACACUUCUACCUCAUAGUAUAUCACUGAGGGAAGUCGGGACAGGAAGUCAAACAGGGCAGGAGCCUGGAGGCAGGAGCUGAUGUGAAGGCCAUUAGCUCCUCAUGACUUGCUCAGCCUACUUUCUGACAGAAUCCAGGACCACCAUCCCAAGGGGUAGCCCCACUCACAAGGGGCUGGGCUCUCCCUCCUCAAUCACUAAUUGAGAAAAUGUCCUACAGCCGGAUCUUAUUGAGAUAUUUUCUCAGCUGAGGCUCCCUCUUCUCCAGUGACUCCAGUUUGUGUUGAGUUGACAUAAAACCAGCCAGCAAACUGUUCAUGAUCUGUCUUCCCCUAAGGUUUGUAGGAAGCCAAUGAUUAUGUUUUACUCCUGAGAUAAACUCAAUGCGAAGGACGGUGCACAGUA
Molecule: long non-coding RNA, 1308 nt
Organism: Apodemus sylvaticus (European woodmouse)
Lineage: Eukaryota; Metazoa; Chordata; Mammalia; Rodentia; Muridae
Exons: 3
Source: RefSeq, a predicted model, not a curated record